This 484-nucleotide ribosomal RNA is filed under the name uncultured bacterium. Its description in RNAcentral is "partial 16S ribosomal RNA". It matches the Rfam family "Bacterial small subunit ribosomal RNA", at positions 30 to 507 of the family's 1533-position model. The record is from RNAcentral.
AUUGAACGCUGGCGGCAUGCUUUACACAUGCAAGUCGAACGGCAGCACGGGCUUCGGCCUGGUGGCGAGUGGCGAACGGGUGAGUAAUAUAUCGGAACGUACCCAGAAGUGGGGGAUAACGUAGCGAAAGUUACGCUAAUACCGCAUACGAUCUAUGGAUGAAAGCAGGGGACCGCAAGGCCUUGUGCUCCUGGAGCGGCCGAUAUCUGAUUAGCUAGUUGGUGAGGUAAAGGCUCACCAAGGCGACGAUCAGUAGCUGGUCUGAGAGGACGACCAGCCACACUGGAACUGAGCCACGGUCCAGACUCCUACGGGAGGCAGCAGUGGGGAAUUUUGGACAAUGGGCGCAAGCCUGAUCCAGCAAUGCCGCGUGAGUGAAGAAGGCCUUCGGGUUGUAAAGCUCUUUUGUCAGGGAAGAAACGGUAGAGGCUAAUAUCCUUUGCUAAUGACGGUACCUGAAGAAUAAGCACCGGCUAACUACGUG